GAGCUCAAAUUUAUAAUCUGGCACCUUCGGUGUCCGAGUUGUAAUCUCUAGAAGUGUUUUCCGCGUUGGACCGCACACAAGUCUGUUGGAAUACAGCGGCAUAGUGGUGAGACCCCCGUAUAUGGUGCGGACGCCCAACGCUUUGUGAUACACUUUCGAAGAGUCGAGUUGUUUGGGAAUGCAGCUCAAAUUGGGUGGUAAAUUCCAUCUAAAGCUAAAUAUUGGCGAGAGACCGAUAGCGAACAAGUACCGUGAGGGAAAGAUGAAAAGCACUUUGGAAAGAGAGUUAACAGUACGUGAAAUUGUUGGAAGGGAAACGCUUGAAGUCAGACUUGCUUGCCGAGCAAUCGGUUUGCAGGCCAGCAUCAGUUUUCCGGGGUGGAUAAUGGUAGAGAGAAGGUAGCAGUUUCGGCUGUGUUAUAGCUCUUUGCUGGAUACACCUUGGGGGACUGAGGAACGCAGUGUGCCUUACGGCGGAUUUCUCGAGAUCUUCACACUUAGGAUGCUGGUGGAAUGGCUUUAAACGACCCGUCUU
RNAcentral lists this ribosomal RNA (535 nucleotides) under Rhodotorula taiwanensis. RNAcentral describes it as "eukaryotic LSU rRNA". It matches the Rfam family "Eukaryotic large subunit ribosomal RNA", at positions 104 to 655 of the family's 3401-position model. Lineage: Eukaryota; Fungi; Basidiomycota; Microbotryomycetes; Sporidiobolales; Sporidiobolaceae. The record is from RNAcentral.